This 7106-nucleotide long non-coding RNA is filed under the name Aquilegia coerulea. Its description in RNAcentral is "long non-coding RNA (ACOE_LNC001282)". The record is from RNAcentral. Lineage: Eukaryota; Viridiplantae; Streptophyta; Magnoliopsida; Ranunculales; Ranunculaceae.
CAACUUUGUAGCAAAUUGAUUAAAAGAAAUAAGUCUAAGAAAGUAAUUUAAAGACUAAAAGAGUUAAAAAAAAACCCAAAUUUUUAUACAAAAUUGUGAAUAAUGAGAAAGAAAGAGAAGAUUGAAGAACCUGAUUGAUUGAGGGUGUGAAACUGUGAAAUUGUGAAUUGCAUAAAAUCGUGUUCUUAUCCAAAAUUUUGGAGUUAGAGAGAUCAGAGAUGAACUGUGAUUGUGAUUUGUGAGAGAGAUCAGAGAUGAAGUCUCGAAGAGUCGAAGAGAGAGUGAGUCAGUGAGAGACGAUGAGGAAACCCUUGUGGCUUGUUUUCAUAAUUUCAUCUUCUCUGUGUAUUAGUGUAUAUUAAGAAAGUAAUAGUUUCUUAGUUAGAAAGUAAAUCUAUAUUGGGAUUUGGGAAAAGGGACAAAAAUGUGGACCAAAACUUAAUAAACAAAAUUGAGGGGAGUCAACCAACGUAUCUACCAUAAAAAAAAUCCUGAAAUCUCUUCACUAAAUUUUUUUUUCCAAAUUUUCAGGGGUAUCAAUGGAUACCCCAGGACCCCCCUUAGAUCCGCCACUGAACAUCAUAAUGGAAAAUAAUAGAUUAAUAUUGAAUAUUGAUUGAAUACAAUGAAAGUUGAUCGUCAAGGUGGAGGCUAAAAGAUUAGGUUGAAGAUAACAAACCUAGUUACAACUUCUCUUAUAUAGACAUUACAAAGUAGAAUACUUGCAUGUAAAGACUUCCAAACUUGGUGAAAUUUGUGGCUGCUGCUGUUGGUCUCCUAGAGAGAUUAGUAAAUCAGCAAAACGUAAUUAUCUUGGGCUUAAAUUGUAGCUUAGGCCAAAACCUUCAGUUUGAUAGCUCAUGGGCCCCAAUCGGAUUUCUGGAUCUUCUUGUGAAGCCUUUUUAAGAUUAAUACCCAAAAUAGAAAUUCAGGUCCACGAAAGUCAACAGAGUUGACCAAAGUCAGCAAGGUCCAACAGUUGACCGAAAGUCAGCAGAAGUCAAGCAUGGACUAAAAGUCAAUAAUUACCCAAAAGUCAACUGAAGUCAAAGUUGGCAAAAAAGUCAACCAAAGUCAAAGUUGACAAAAAAAGUCAAGUCAACACUAGUCAACCACGUGGAGCCCUUAGCAGAUUUCACGGAUGCAAAUACCUAUUCUUCUUCCCUUGUGCUAAUAACACCUUUUUGCUUGUUUUUUCUCGACUUUUUGCCGGCUCUUACAUAAUAUUUGCAUUUCAGGUCAUGAAACCUACAUAAAAGACAAGAAAUCACUAAUCAAUAGAUAUAAUGCAAUAAUAUAAGCUAAGUGCUAGACAAACAAGGUGUUAUUCGGGGGGAUAAAUAUACACUUUUGAGGUCCGGACAAAAAGUGUAAAUAAAUAUAAAAUUUAGUUAUAAAAUCAAUUGGUAUAAUUUUUUUUGAAGUAACUUUGGAGAAGGACACUAAUCAUGUUUUCCUUCUCCAAAAAGAUAAUCUCAUUUGAGUCAACCCUCCAUAAGGACAAACUCUUUAAAAGUCUUUGCUCAAAAGGACAAAGACUUUUGUUGACUUGUUCGAAAGUACAAAGACUUAUGAUUUCAGGUAGAAUCAUAGUGUCAAAAAUUUGUGCAAUUCUAUAUUUGCCCUUUCCCACUAGGGUUAAUUACUCCCUACAUAGGUUAUAGUGUUUUGUGCUAGAAAAAAAUUUCUGAUAUAUGAUUCGACCUAAAAUCAAACUAUGAUUUGGGUGGGUAUUUUAGUCCAAAACUUGUUGACUUCAAAGCCCUCUUCAAUACGAUUGCAACUCUUUUUGUCCUUUUGAAUAAGUCUCCCAUGUUUUUUUCUUUUUAAUUUGUUUUAUGGGUAAAAUUUGUGAGAGCUUGAUGAUCAUAUAGAGUGCCACAUAGGAAAGAGAGUGGGGGACUCAUUGGGUCUAGCUAUUAUAUAGAUAUAUAGAUUCGUUGCUACUAUAAAACCUUUAUUCAAUAAAUAAAAAAAAAACUUUUAUGCGCAUCAUACGUAUAUGAUACAUUAAAAACCAAAAUAAAUACGAUACACAUGCGACAACUAUUGUUCAAAAUCUCGAUGCUCAAGAUCUCGACAAGUCUAAAAUUCGAGAUCUCGUUUGACAACUAUUGAAUAAGUUUUAGGAGCGGUCCUUCAGUACCCGCUCAAGUUCAAACUAACUUAAGCGACUCUUAGUUGCCCGUUGAAGUUCAACUUAACCAAACAUUACGUUGAGCGACACCCCAUUGGUCACCCAGUAAGAUGAUUUUUUUACUAAGAAUAUGAGCGACUUUCUUUUGGCAGUCCCAUAACAUGCAAGCGAGUGUUAAAAGCCUGCCCCAAAGAAACGGUUUUUAAAUGAGCGCUUAACCACUGUUGCCGGCUUAAGUUUGAUUAACUAUUAGAGAAAAAGAUUUUUUGUAGCAAAUAAAACACAAAAUGGGUAUCAAAUGUGCUUAGGUGGUCGGUGGAGAAAAAAAAAAAGCUUUAUCAAAAUGGGUAGCAAAUAAUUAGCGGACAACUUUAUCAAAUUCAGGGACCAAAAAUCUGGAGCGAUUGUGCUUAUGGAUGGUCAGGAUUUAAUCAAGAUCUGUAGAUCAGUGGUUGAGAUCUUUUCUUAGACCAAAUACAUUACGUAUUUCAAACUUUUAAGUUUUGACCGACCUAACAGCAAUUAACGGUAUAAUCGAAAGAGCUUCCACCAACUUCCACCAAUGUGACCUUCUUAUCCAACGGUCAUUAUUUUAUAAACUGAAAAACAAGAUACUCAUAAACCCUUCUUGCUUUUUCUUCUCGUUAACAAAGGAAUCACAAAAUCUUUCAAUGCGACAAUAAACUCUUUGCAAUUCUUUUUUUAAGGAGUUAAGAAUUACUGUAAGAAUCAACCCAUUCUUCGAUCAUCCUUUGUUCAUAAACCCUUUUUGUUUUUUCUUAUCCAACGGUCAUUAUUUUAUAAAUUGGAAAACAAGACACCUGAAUUCAUAAACCGUUCUUGCUUUUUCUUCUCGUUAACUGAGGAAUCACAAAAAUUUUCAAUUCGACAAUCAACUCUUUUCAAUUCCUUUUAUAAGGAGUUAAGCACUACUGUAAGAAUCAACCUAUUAUUCGAUUAUCCUUUGUUUUUUUCUUUUCUUGUUCUUCAGUUUUCUUGAAUAUCAAUGGUGAACCUUAACAUCAAUAAUCAACACAUUUGUUUUAAUUCUUACACUGAGUUUCUUGAUAAGUUCAAAAGAGUGGCAAUACACAAUGGUUAUAUGGUAUAUGAUAUAGGAGUUUUACCCUAAAUUAGAUUAAAAUUCACAGAGGAUGUCACCCUCUAUGGACUUGGCGGCCAAACAUUAUUCCUACACAUACAGCAAGAUAAUUUGUACUUGCUUAGAUUUAAAACCAAAAAAGGUAAUAACUGGUAUAGGUUAUAAAAAAUAGUCCAUGAGAAGGACGACCCAAUUUUGAAAACAUAUGAAAAGAUUGGUUUGAUGAAUCUUAUCAUCAUUUGUGCAAUGACAAGUUAAGCAGCAUAAAUUUAAGUUUCCGAAGUUUAGAAGCGGCAUUUCUGGAAGUAUAUCGAUUCGCCGAAAACCCUAUGAGAAUGUGGGACCCAUUGGGUCUAGCUAUUAUAUAGAUAUAUAGAUUUGUUGCUACUAUAAAACUUUUAUUCAAUAAAUAAUAAUAAAAAAAAAAAUGUUUAUGCGCAUCAUACGCAGUGGCGGAUCUAAGGGGGUCAUAGGGUAUCACUUGACACCCCUGAAUUUUUGCAAUUUUUUACUAUAUAUGUUUAAUUUUUAAGAAUUUUAAAUAUGUUUAUUACCAAAAAUACUAUAUUGUAUCUUCUAAUAAAGUAAUAUCUGUUAAAUUGUUUUUCAUUCCCAUAAUGUAAGCAUUUUGUAAAAGAUCUGGAAGAUCUUACAUAAAUAAAAUGUUAAAUAUCUUUACAUUUAUGUACGUAAUAGAAAAUUACAAUUCUUUUAUGUGUAUUUUUCGCCAACCUUCUAAAAAAUAUUAAUUUUGAAUUAUAUAAAAAAAAAUUCAAUCAACAAUCUCCUUUAUUCGAAUUUUGGUCUUUAACAUGAUGUUUUAGGGACAGAGGUGCAAGUUUUGUCUGGUGGCAUGCUCUCUUAUAAUUGGGUCGAGUUGGUUGGGGUCUCAUAAUCUGACGGUAUCAUCUCAUGGCAUGUUGUUCAGAAUUGUUUGGGUGGUUUAUUUAUCAAUAAAUUGUGAAUUAUAUAAAAAUAAAAAUAAAAAUGACGUCUGAAAUGAAAUAGACAAAAUUUUGAAGUAAUUACUUACUUGUUUUUCUUGUUUAUAUCAACUUGAUUAUAUUUAUUUAUUUUUAAUUAAAGUCUAUUUUACACGAAAUGAUAGUUUUCUUGACCCCCCUGGCAGAAGGUCCUAGAUCCGCCACUGAUCAUACGUACACGAUACAUUAAAAACCAAAAUCAAUACGAUACAAAUGCGACAACUAUUAUUCAAAAUCUCGAAUUCCUCAAGAUCUCAACAAGUCUAAAAUUCGAGAUCUCGUUUGCCAACUAUUGAAUAAGUUUUGGGAGCAAAUUUCGAUACACAUUUAUACCUAAUUAAUAUUUUUAAAUUUAUUUUCACUAGAUUUCUUCUUAAUUAAAAGUACUUAUUCGCAAUAACCCCAAAUCAACCCAUUUUGAGUUGAUUAAGUCAUUUUAAAAAGAUAUGUAAAUUGAAUUCUACGAAUUUCACAAUUUCAAGUUCAAACUUACAUUUAGAACAAAUUAGUAUUUACAAUUAAUAGCAAUCCUUUAAUUUAACUUAAAAAAAAAUCAAAUAACUUUUCAAUUCAUUUUUAAACAAUUCACCAAUUCACCUCGAGUAUCUCAACACUAGAAAUAUAAUUUCUCACGAGAUCUCACAAUUUCUCACGAGAUCUCGAACUUAUCGACAAGGUUGGUAUGGAAAUCAGACCACGAAUAUCUUGUACCGAAUACUUCAAUUUCCAAGAUAUCUCACGAGAUUUUGAACAAUGGUGAAAACUAUGUAGUGGAGUUACGGGUGAAAAUCGGACGGAACGAAUCGAAAAUGGCAUGUUUGGAAACCUCCGUGUAUCUUCCCUGAAAACCCAAAUGCUUAAGUAUGGUCAUAAUGAAACUAGGUAAAGGAAGAGUACCCUUAGCUGCGUCAAGCAUCCUUGAGUAAAUGACCUCUGAAAGGUAGUUAUAAUGCACAGACAUACACACGAUCAACUUCACCAUAUCAUCUGUAAGAAUGAUCUUGUUACCCUUUGUUGGAAAGAUGUUCGAGUGGGCAACCAUGUGCAGAAGAAUGACGCUGUAGGCCCUGGAAUGGUAUCUCUGAGUGACACCAUCAAUAAACAUCCCUUGAGCUUAACUGACCAAGUCAAAAUGAGUCUCAUCCGGAAUUGGCCACAUUACAUGCACUUGACUCAAUGGCAUCCGAUGCCCAUCGAUUCCCAAUGCCUCACUGAUCACCUUCGGAGAAAUAGUAUAUCUCCUACCUUCAAUCAAAACGGAGAAACUCGUGCGAUUCUGUGAAGGUGUCUUGGUCUCAUAGAAGGCAAUCGUGUGCUCGACCAAGUACUUGGUUAUCGGUUGAGCCACCCUUAACCAGUUUCGUUCUUCAAAGAACGAAGAGAUGUUGCCGAGUUGAGUAGCUCCUAAAGGACUUGCGGUGAUGUCUCGCAAGUCAAAGAAACACUCAGGAACAAUGGCCUUCGCUCGAGGAUGAAUACCAAGGGGUCUGGGAGGAGGCGAGGAGUCCAAAGGAGGAGCACCCCUACCCCUUUGAGAGGCGUGUACCUCGUGAUCCCGAAUAAGACGCACCCCUAGAGCCGGGUGUAGUGCGAGCGCGCUUAGGAGGCAUGUCCUGCACAAACAUAACCCGAUACAAACCAACAGUGUGAGAAAAACACAACACCAAACAAGAGAAACAAACAAUUGGACUCAUGUAGACAUUUCAUCAAACACAUGGUGUGCAAACAAUUGGACUCAUGUAGAUCAUUUCUUGAGAUUACUCGACCGCACAAACUUGAUAUUAUGCUUUUAAACACCAUUUCUUGAGAUUACUCGACGGCCAAACUUGAUAUUAGUCUUUUAAACACAAUGCGAAGGGCAGUGGCGGAUCUAGGAGUUUGAUCUAGGGGUAUCAACUAUUAUAUAGAAGGACGACAAAUUUUUUUUUCCACAUGUAAUAUAUAUUAAUGACGCACAAAAAUUGUGACAUCUUCGUUCAACUAAGAUAAUGCAUAACAUAAAUAAUAUAAAAUACACCCAUAGUUAUAGGUAAAUUUGAUAAUUAAUGACUUACAAGAUCAUUUGCAGAUAACGUCUUCGUUCACUUAAGUAUCUUAGUCACAACUCACAAAUUCACUCUAACCUGUAUAUACAAUGAACUUCUAAUCAAAAUCAGCUCAUUAUUCAGAACAAAUAGACUACUGGAUAUAUAAAAGCCACCAAUGUACGUGAGUAAAUUUACACACAGAAAUAAACAAACAAAAAAAAAGUUGUAUCAUACCAUGAAUUCAUAACAUGAAAUUGCCUGAUUGACUGAUUCACCAAAUAUUUAUUUGUUAGUUUCAUAACAUGAAAUUGCCGCAAACUCGCAAAGACUCGACAAACCAAAACUAAAUUGAUUAAUAAUAGUGUAGUGUGAUUUAAUAAUUAAUACUUAUAAUCCUACCAAGAUCACAACUUUGUAGCAUAAUCCUACCAUUCUACCAAGAUCACAACUUUGUAGCAAAUUGAUUAAAAGAAAUAAGUCUAAGAAAGUAAUUUAAAGACUAAAAGAGUUAAAAAAAACCCAAAUUUUUAUACAAAAUUGUGAAUAAUGAGAAAGAAUGAGAAGAUUGAAGAACCUGAUUGAUUGAGGGUGUGAAACUGUGAAAUUGUGAAUUGCAUAAAAUCGUGUUCUUAUCCAAAAUUUUGGAGUUAGAGAGAUCAGAGAUGAACUGUGAUUGUGAUUUGUGAGAGAGAUCAGAGAUGAAGUCUCGAAGAGUCGAAGAGAGAGUGAGUCAGUGAGAGACAAUGAGGAAACCCUUGUGGCUUGUUUUCAUAAUUUCAUCUUCUCUGUGUAUUAGUGUAUAUUAAGAAAGUAAUAGUUUCUUAGUUAGAAAGUAAAUCUAUAUUGGGAUUUGGGAA